UCCCUUUUGUUUUCCUUUCUCUUUCUCCCGUCCUCCUCGGCCAGGUGGUAUGGCUUACGGGUCAGAACACCCCAGCAAGUUAGUCUCCCGGGCUACCACCUACCAGGAUGUGGAGUCGAACUGCCUUGGAGACCACGCAGCCCUCGAUUCUGCCCUUGGAGUGACACUUUCUCACCGUCUACCCAUGCGUACAAGACAGAGGCUGAAGUCUGGAGCCGAGACCAGAAGGGAACGCAGCAUAAAGGAACUUGUCUUCUCUGCCUGAACAUUUCUGACCCAGCUCCUUCCUGCAGGACCACGUCUGCGUCACCAGAGCCCUCGGGUCCUGCCCCUGCUCCUUCGGCUGGGCUGCCUCAGUGGGACCGCAGUCGUAAAUAUUUCAGGAUCUCUGUGGCUCCGCUGUGUCCCACUCGUGUAGUCUGCCGUGGCUCGCGUGCCUCUCCAGAGAAGCUGCCGCCAGUGGUGACCUCCAUGUGCUUCUAGCCUCACGUGGCCUCUGGGUCCCAGGGGCAGGGAGGGCGUGUGGGCUCCUGCGCUGGCUCCUCCACGCUUUAUCUGGGCCGGGACAAGUCUCGCCUUUGCCCGUGGCCCUAACACCAAGGGGCCCUGUGACCAGAAGGGGCCGCAUGACCACACUUCAUACCGAGGGGCCAGAAAGCAGGGGGACACAGGGAAGGUGGGGCGCCGUCUCCACACCUGCCCCCCGUGGCUCUUUCCCCUCCCACCCCUUCCCAUAAAAAGUCAAAUCCUUUCCGGACCUCUGACCUCCCCAGCCCGGCCCAGGCUCCAGGGAUACUGAGGCGCUUCGGGCCUUCCGCUUUCCCCAAGCUUAUUUCAUUGCCUUUGUAGAUGCCGUCCUCGCGGCUGAUUCCUACAGCUCUUUCACGUGGCGCUUGGUUCUAGAACUGUUUAGACCGGGCUAAGAAACAGCCA
RNAcentral lists this long non-coding RNA (933 nucleotides) under Fukomys damarensis (Damara mole-rat). RNAcentral describes it as "lncRNA (ENSFDAG00000022793.1)". Lineage: Eukaryota; Metazoa; Chordata; Mammalia; Rodentia; Bathyergidae. The record is from RNAcentral.